This 301-nucleotide ribosomal RNA is filed under the name uncultured bacterium. RNAcentral's name for it is "partial 16S ribosomal RNA". It matches the Rfam family "Bacterial small subunit ribosomal RNA", at positions 509 to 807 of the family's 1533-position model. The record is from RNAcentral.
CAGCAGCCGCGGUAAUACGUAGGUGGCAAGCGUUGUCCGGAAUUAUUGGGCGUAAAGCGCGCGCAGGUGGUUUAAUAAGUCUGAUGUGAAAGCCCCCGGCUCAACCGUGGAGGGUCAUUGGAAACUGUUAAGCUUGAGUGCAGGGGAGAAAAGUGGAAUUCCUAGUGUAGCGGUGAAAUGCGUAGUGAUUAGGAGGAACACCAGUGGCGAAGGCGGCUUUCUGGCCUGUAACUGACACUGAGGCGCGAAAGCGUGGGGAGCAAACAGGAUUAGAUACCCCCGUAGUCCCUGUCUCUUAUAC